AAUUUGAUAAAAAUAAUAACUAACUAGUCAUUACCAGUUAAAAUACAAUUAAAUCCAACUGCAAAUGCAUGGCAAGGGUGAUAAUAUGUAGGGCGUCCAAAUUUUGAUCCAAAAUUUUAUAUCUUUUUGUGCCAAAAUUAUUAUAUUAAGAGUGGGAAAGAAAAAGGAUAUCAGAUAUUUCCAAACACAUGCACGUAAUAUUUCACAUUAACACAUCAAGUAAACAAAGACAUUACGAUUGACCAUAUAGAUUAUGGCCAUAGCUGCAAUAACCAUGUAAUAGCAGCACUUAUUUAUCUAUAUGUUACACAGAUAGUGCCAUUUAUAUAUGAAAUGGCAAUAGAUUCAGAUCCAUUUAUUUUUAGCAAUGGUAAUAGCAAUAGCAAUCUCCAUGGUAGCAAUUGCCAUAAUCUGCAUCUUCGUUGUUCUUGCACCAAUGGUUACACUUCCUGGGAAAGCACUUUCCAUUCCAGCUUUUGCUAGGCUUCCCACAGUGUUUUGCUUCUGUUAUUUGCACCUCUGCACAUAUAUAGAACCAUAGUAAAGAUACUUAGAAUUCCUCUAGGUUAUUGCACAUAUAUGUUAUAUUUUAAGUGCUGAAAAAUAUUAUUAAGUGCUGAAACUGAUUGAUAAGAAAACAGUUAUAUGUUUGGAUAGAAGUCCUGAAAUUGAUAAUAAGCACUUGAUUUGUUGUGUUAAAAUAAUGCUGAUCAUAAUUUGUUCUUUUGUUAAAAUACUCUUGUGUAAUUUUUAUAAGAAAUUAUAAAUUUAAUAGUAUCUUUGUAAAGAAAAGGAGGAACGAUAAAUACGGAAUGCAAAUGAAGUUAGGAGUUUCCUUUUGUGAAAGGUAUUAAUUAAGAAUUAGUGAGAAUACAAUAAAAAAAAAUUGUCAAACUAAAAGUGCUUAUAAGCUGCAAACCAUAAGUUGAAUUGAUUUUGACUUAUACUCCCGCCGGUCCAAAAUAAGUGAUUUUUUAGCUGUUUUCACACAGAUUAAGUAAUCCACCUUUUAAC
Molecule: long non-coding RNA, 1014 nt
Filed under: Nicotiana tabacum (common tobacco)
Lineage: Eukaryota; Viridiplantae; Streptophyta; Magnoliopsida; Solanales; Solanaceae
Description: long non-coding RNA (NTAB_LNC008123)
Source: RNAcentral